GACAGAGGUGCCGAGCGUUAGGCGGAAUCACUGGGCUUAAAGCGUGUGUAGGCGGGCCGUUAAGUGUCUUGUGAAAUCCCCCGGCUCAACCGGGGAAUUGCUGGGCAUACUGGCGGUCUUGAGCAGUUCAGGGGCAGAUGGAACAAGUGGUGGAGCGGUGAAAUGCGUAGAUAUCAUUUGGAACGCCAAUGGUGAAAACAGCUCGCUGGGGGUGCACUGACACUGAGACACGAAAGCCAGGGGAGCGAACGGG
This 253-nucleotide ribosomal RNA is filed under the name uncultured bacterium. RNAcentral describes it as "partial 16S ribosomal RNA". It matches the Rfam family "Bacterial small subunit ribosomal RNA", at positions 524 to 776 of the family's 1533-position model. The record is from RNAcentral.